UACGUAGGUGGCAAGCGUUGUCCGGAAUUACUGGGCGUAAAGGGUGCGUAGGCGGUUCAUUAAGUGGGAUGUGAAAUACCCGGGCUCAACUCGGGAACUGCAUUCCAAACUGGUGAGCUAGAGUGCAGGAGAGGAAAGUGGAAUUCCCAGUGUAGCGGUGAAAUGCGUAGAGAUUGGGAGGAACACCAGUGGCGAAGGCGACUUUCUGGACUGUAACUGACGCUGAGGCACGAAAGUGUGGGGAGCAAACAGG
Molecule: ribosomal RNA, 253 nt
Filed under: uncultured bacterium
Lineage: Bacteria
Description: partial 16S ribosomal RNA
Rfam family: Bacterial small subunit ribosomal RNA
Source: RNAcentral